Molecule: transfer RNA, 63 nt
Filed under: Cambarus robustus
Lineage: Eukaryota; Metazoa; Arthropoda; Malacostraca; Decapoda; Cambaridae
Description: tRNA-Phe
Source: RNAcentral
AUUUAUAUAAUUUAAACAAGAAUAUUGUGUUGAAGUUACAAUAGUGGUGUACACCUAUAAAUA